This 521-nucleotide ribosomal RNA is filed under the name uncultured archaeon. RNAcentral's name for it is "bacterial SSU rRNA". It matches the Rfam family "Archaeal small subunit ribosomal RNA", at positions 1 to 522 of the family's 1478-position model. The record is from RNAcentral.
UUCCGGUUGAUCCUGCCGGAGGUUACUGCUAUCGGUGUUCGACUAAGCCAUGCAAGUCAUAUGUUCCUCGUGAACAUGGCAUACUGCUCAGUAACACGUGGAUAACCUGCCCUUGGGUCUGGGAUAACCCCGGGAAACUGGGGAUAAUAUCGGAUAACGCAUAUGUGCUGGAAUGCUUUAUGCGUAAAACGGAUUCGUCCGCCCAAGGAUGGGUCUGCGGCCUAUCAGGUAGUAGUGGGUGUAAUGUACCUACUAGCCAACAACGGGUACGGGUUGUGAGAGCAAGAGCCCGGAGAUGGAUUCUGAGACAUGAAUCCAGGCCCUACGGGGCGCAGCAGGCGCGAAAACUUUACAAUGCGGGAAACCGUGAUAAGGGAACACCGAGUGCCAGCAUCAUAUGCUGGCUGUCCAGAUGUGUAAACUACAUCUGUUAGCAAGGGCCGGGCAAGACCGGUGCCAGCCGCCGCGGUAACACCGGCGGCCCGAGUGGUGACCGUUAUUAUUGGGUCUAAAGGGUCCGU